This is a long non-coding RNA of Dama dama (fallow deer), 394 nucleotides long. RefSeq lists it as uncharacterized. The transcript has 3 exons. NCBI's taxonomy places the organism in Eukaryota, Metazoa, Chordata, Mammalia, Artiodactyla, Cervidae. The record is from RefSeq and is a predicted model, not a curated record.
AUUUUCCCCAUAGUGGAAGCAGUGUGUAUGUACACUGCUACCAAGUAGCGGUAUUCACCGAAUCCAAGAGGUAGAAGAGAAUUUGGAGCCUCAGAGUCUUUUCCAGUGAGUCAGCCCUUCACAUCAAGUGGCCAAAGCAUUGGCGCUUCAGCAUCAGUCCUUCUGUUACUGAAAGAUGUGUGGAGUCCAGCUGCUUGCCACUCAAACACCAAUAAAUAGUCCAGGAAAAACCAUGGUUUUAUGACUGCUGGAAAAACCAGCAGUCGUGUACAAAUGUGAGAGUUGGACCAUAAAGAAGUCUGAGCGCUGAAGAAUUGAUCCUUUUGAACUGUGGUGUUGGAGAAGACUCUUGAGAAUCCCUUGGACUGCAAGGAAAUCAAACCAGUCAAUCCCA